Molecule: transfer RNA, 59 nt
Filed under: Ixodes scapularis (black-legged tick)
Lineage: Eukaryota; Metazoa; Arthropoda; Arachnida; Ixodida; Ixodidae
Rfam family: tRNA
About the family: Transfer RNA (tRNA) molecules are approximately 80 nucleotides in length.
Source: Rfam by way of RNAcentral
UUAGCGUAGUGGUAGAGCGCUCCACUGGAAAUGGAGAGGUCCCUGGUUCGAUACCAGGA